AUGGAGUCUGGAAUAAGAUAGUAAGAAGGAAAAACAUCUUUUUACAUCAGAAGUUUCACCUGAAGCCAACCUUCCCAAGAAAGCAUCCUGCCUGUCUCCAUAUAAACCAGUUCAGAUAGAAGCUGUGAUGUUGAAAGUCAAACACCAAUUAGGACAUGUUCCAGUUCAGCCCUUUAAAGCCAGUCUGUUCUCAGAACUUGGUUCUUGGAGGUGUGUCUUUCUCCUAGAGAGGAGCUUAUUUACAGCAAGUGUGUAACCUGUCAUCGACAGAGAUCAGUACCUUCCUUCUCCACCCCAAGCUCCAUUGGGAGUCACAACUACCUCUCGGAUGGAAUCUGCUUCAGUGUUAUAAACCAUCAGCUUCAGCGGCUUCCCCUCAUGGGAUUCAAUCAGGGAAAAGAAAUCCUCUGACUAUGAAAAAAAUAAAAGAAAGUAGUAGUUAAUAAACCCAAA
Corvus hawaiiensis (hawaiian crow) is the source of this 453-nucleotide long non-coding RNA. RefSeq lists it as uncharacterized. The record is from RefSeq and is a predicted model, not a curated record. Lineage: Eukaryota; Metazoa; Chordata; Aves; Passeriformes; Corvidae. The transcript is spliced from 2 exons.